UACAGAGGAUGCAAGCGUUAUCCGGAAUUAUUGGGCGUAAAGCGUCCGCAGGUGGUUUUGGUAGUCUGCUGUCAAAGCGCGAGGCUCAACUUCGUAUCGGCGGUGGAAACUCCAAGACUAGAGCUAGGUAGGGGUCACGGGAAUUCCCAGUGUAGCGGUGAAAUGCGUAGAUAUUGGGAAGAACACCAGCGGCGAAAGCGCGUGACUGGGCCUGAGCUGACACUCAUGGACGAAAGCUAGGGGAGCGAAAGGG
This 253-nucleotide ribosomal RNA is filed under the name uncultured bacterium. Its description in RNAcentral is "partial 16S ribosomal RNA". It matches the Rfam family "Bacterial small subunit ribosomal RNA", at positions 524 to 776 of the family's 1533-position model. The record is from RNAcentral.